UGUGUGUGUGUGUGUGUGUGUGUGUGUGUGUGUGUGUGUGUGUGUGAGUAUGCUUGUUAAGAGACAGCUGUUUUAUAAAUUGAGGCUGGUCUUGAACUCAGGAUACCCCUGUAGCAGCCUUCUGAGAACCAGGUUUUUAGACAGGGACCAUCAUAUCCAGUUUGCUGUCUCUUCUCAUAAGAAAAUCUUAAAAGUUCCAAAGAAUUAGGAUGCCACUCCUGUAAUCCCAUUUAUUCUGAUUAAACUCUUGUUUUGUUUUGUUUUCCGAGACAGGGUUUCUCUGUGUAGCUCUGGCUGUCCUGGAACUCACUCUUUAGACCAGGCUGGCCUCGAACUCAGAAAUCUGUCUGCUUUUGCCUCCAGAAAUGUCUUAAAGUCAGCAGCCUCACCAAGAGUAAGUUGUUUUGUUUGUUUUCCUCUCACACAGAAACUUCAUUUCAAAGGGUAUAGAAGAGAAUUCUUGGAUCCAUCAAACAAGGCCCAUCAUUCAGUGUUUUCAUGUUUCUGUAUCACAUUCACCUGAAGCCCUGACAGUGUUCAUCACAGGCUCCCAGAGGCAGGAGAGGCCGUUAUGUACCGCCUCAACCCUUUACCUGAAGGAGAAUCUUUCUUAGAAUAUGUAUGACUUCAAACAAUCACAGAACCUUCAUACCGGUGACAAACACUUACAGGUUCUCUAUGGUUCCAGAGCAGCAGUUAUUCCCAGCAAAUGGAGUCUGAAUGUGAAAAACAGCCAUCUUCCUCCUUAUGGAUCACAGUGGCUUCCUGCCUGGGCCAGUGAUCUUGCCAAGAUCUGGCCCCCCUUCAUCAGGUCAGCCUCCAGGAAUCAAUGGGAGUCUCUGACAAGGAAAAGUCACACAACAGAAAUGAAUGCCACCAGACCACCGCACCAGCUCAGUGUGGUGCUGAAUAAUCCAUCUGCCUGGAUUAGGUGGAGAGCAUCAGUUUUUCUGCUUUCACAGUGCACACUUGAGUAGGCGUGAGUAACCAACUUGUACAUCAUCCUGAGGAAGCAGGUCCAUCAUGAUGGCAGUUACCUACCUAAACACCUCUAUCCUGUCAGGUUAGAAAUGCCAGUCCAAGUUGUUCCUGGAUAGCCAGUCUAAGACAAGUGUUCCAAACUCUAAUUCACUCAUCUUGAAUCUCAUAUUCACCUAGAAGCCCAUGUAAUCAUCUUGCAAUGGAAGUUAGAUCAUAUCUGUAAUCGCUCCCCAGCUCAGAAUCUUCACAGUCCUGACAUCACACUUAGAACAAAGGGUCAGAAGACUGUGCAGAGCUGGGCUCCUGUCUCUGUGACAUCAGCUCAUGGUCUGCUUGCUUCCUUUUCAAUCUCAUCCUCAUCGUCCAUAGUAACAUGGUCACGAUUUCCUUUCUAAACAAUCCGUCUCUGGUCUCAGAAGCCCCAAAUGCUAUCCCUCCUGCUCUAUGUCUACAUACCAACCCUUUUCUGAAAUGAGGCCAGAUCAUUAUGAAGUGCUCAGGCAGUCUUAUCCCAUUAAAUUGGCACAUUCAGGAGGACAGUUAAUUUGUAUUCUUUGCAUAAUGCCCCAACACUUAGCACAGAGCCGGACACUGGAGAGGGAUCUGAAUAUCUGUUUAUUGAUUAAAUAAAUGUUUGG
This is a long non-coding RNA of Mus spicilegus (steppe mouse), 1619 nucleotides long. Lineage: Eukaryota; Metazoa; Chordata; Mammalia; Rodentia; Muridae. The record is from Ensembl.